AACGAACGCUGGCGGCAUGCCUAACACAUGCAAGUCGAACGAGACCUUCGGGUCUAGUGGCGCACGGGUGCGUAACGCGUGGGAACCUGCCCUUAGGUUCGGAAUAACUCCCCGAAAGGGGUGCUAAUACCGGAUAAUGUCUUCGGACCAAAGAUUUAUCGCCUUUGGAUGGGCCCGCGUUGGAUUGGCUAGUUGGUAGGGUAAAAGCCUACCAAGGCGACGAUCCAUAGCUGGUCUGAGAGGAUGAUCAGCCACACUGGGACUGAGACACGGCCCAGACUCCUACGGGAGGCAGCAGUGGGGAAUAUUGGACAAUGGGCGAAAGCCUGAUCCAGCAAUGCCGCGUGAGUGAUGAAGGCCUUAGGGUUGUAAAGCUCUUUUACCCGGGAUGAUAAUGACAGUACCGGGAGAAUAAGCGCCGGCUAACUCCGUG
Molecule: ribosomal RNA, 433 nt
Filed under: uncultured bacterium
Lineage: Bacteria
Description: partial 16S ribosomal RNA
Rfam family: Bacterial small subunit ribosomal RNA
Source: RNAcentral